UGGCCCAAUGGUGUGAAAGUAUUUCACAUCAAAGAUUGUGAUUAAUCUAAUUCUGUACAUCUGAGGUUGAAU
This 72-nucleotide small nucleolar RNA is filed under the name Loxodonta africana (African savanna elephant). RNAcentral's name for it is "Small nucleolar RNA SNORD112 (ENSLAFG00000033221.1)". The record is from RNAcentral. Lineage: Eukaryota; Metazoa; Chordata; Mammalia; Proboscidea; Elephantidae.